AAGUCGUAACAAGGUUUCCGUAGGUGAACCUGCGGAAGGAUCAUUACCAUAUCCAAAAAAAAACUUUACCAACCCACCGUGUGCACUGUUGUUUUUUCCGUGGCAAGAAGGCUAACGUUGUGAAGGUUUUUAUUUUUGAUAAAGAACAGAAAACCUUGCAGCUCGGUUUUGUUGCCAACGUGAAAACAUUUCCAAUUCAACCCCUGGUCAAACCAACUCUAUACAAACCUGACGUGUGUGUUUUUUUUAAAAAAACAGGCUAGCGGUGUUAAAAAAACAAUCUUACGAUUUCUUUUUUAUAUUGCCACCUGUCUUGAAAAUAAAAACCACAACAAAACCAAAACCAAUAGACAACUUAUAACGGUGGAUCUCUUGGCUCGU
RNAcentral lists this unclassified non-coding RNA (381 nucleotides) under fungal sp. RNAcentral describes it as "partial internal transcribed spacer region". The stretch from base 1 to 46 matches the Rfam family "Eukaryotic small subunit ribosomal RNA", at positions 1786 to 1831 of the family's 1831-position model. The record is from RNAcentral. Lineage: Eukaryota; Fungi.